Molecule: ribosomal RNA, 430 nt
Filed under: uncultured rumen bacterium
Lineage: Bacteria
Description: bacterial SSU rRNA
Rfam family: Bacterial small subunit ribosomal RNA
Source: RNAcentral
GUGGGGAAUCUUCCACAAUGGACGAAAGUCUGAUGGAGCAACGCCGCGUGAAUGAAGAAGGCCUUCGGGUCGUAAAAUUCUGUUGUCAGAGAAGAACGUGCGUGAGAGUAACUGUUCACGUAUUGACGGUAUCUGACCAGAAAGCCACGGCUAACUACGUGCCAGCAGCCGCGGUAAUACGUAGGUGGCAAGCGUUGUCCGGAUUUAUUGGGCGUAAAGGGAACGCAGGCGGUCUUUUAAGUCUGAUGUGAAAGCCUUCGGCUUAACCGAAGUAGUGCAUUGGAAACUGGAAGACUUGAGUGCAGAAGAGGAGAGUGGAACUCCAUGUGUAGCGGUGAAAUGCGUAGAUAUAUGGAAGAACACCAGUGGCGAAAGCGGCUCUCUGGUCUGUAACUGACGCUGAGGUUCGAAAGCGUGGGUAGCAAACAGG